Long non-coding RNA from Clupea harengus (Atlantic herring), 281 nucleotides. RefSeq lists it as uncharacterized. NCBI's taxonomy places the organism in Eukaryota, Metazoa, Chordata, Actinopteri, Clupeiformes, Clupeidae. The record is from RefSeq and is a predicted model, not a curated record. The transcript has 2 exons.
AAUUAAUGUCUGUGGAAGACCGUCACUUGUGGAUACAGAUAACAUAACUGGACUACGUUCUCCGCCAACAGAACAUGUAUUAAACAUCCCAAUGCAGUUACAAUAAGGGGUGGAUCAAGACAGUGUUGAAGCAGGGAUGUCCUAGAGGGGCAGUGUGCUUAAAUGUUAAUGAUUAUUAUUAGCUAAUGUCAUUCCCUGCUCUUGAUUCAACAGAAAUCGUAGGUUUUGCGACAUCUGUCGACAUUUGUAGCACAUUUGUAACACCGAAAAUAGAGCCCCAG